GUCCACGCCGUAAACGAUGUCAACUAGCCGUUGGAUUCCUUGAGGAUUUAGUGGCGCAGCUAACGCAUUAAGUUGACCGCCUGGGGAGUACGGCCGCAAGGUUAAAACUCAAAUGAAUUGACGGGGGCCCCGCACAAGCGGUGGAGCAUGUGGUUUAAUUCGAAGCAACGCGAAGAACCUUACCUGGCCUUGACAUGUCGAGAACUUUCUAGAGAUAGAUUGGUGCCUUCGGGAACUCGAACACAGGUGCUGCAUGGCUGUCGU
RNAcentral lists this ribosomal RNA (264 nucleotides) under uncultured bacterium. RNAcentral describes it as "partial 16S ribosomal RNA". It matches the Rfam family "Bacterial small subunit ribosomal RNA", at positions 793 to 1055 of the family's 1533-position model. The record is from RNAcentral.